GAUGAACGCUGGCGGCGUGCCUAAUACAUGCAAGUCGAGCGAAUGGAUUGAGAGCUUGCUCUUAUGAAGUUAGCGGCGGACGGGUGAGUAACACGUGGGUAACCUGCCCAUAAGACUGGGAUAACUCCGGGAAACCGGGGCUAAUACCGGAUAACAUUUUGAACCGCAUGGUUCGAAAUUGAAAGGCGGCUUCGGCUGGCACUUAUGGAUCGACCCGCGUCGCAUUAGCUAGUUGGUGAGGGAACGGCUCACCAAGGCAACGAGGCGUAGCCGACCUGAGAGGGUGAUCGGCCACACUGGGACUGAGACACGGCCCAGACUCCUACGGGAGGCAGCAGUAGGGAAUCUUCCGCAAUGGACGGAAGUCUGACGGAGCAACGCCGCGUGAGUGAUGAAGGCUUUCGGGUCGUAAAACUCUGUUGUUAGGGAAGAACAAGUGCUAGUUGAAUAAGCUGGCACCUUGACGGUACCUAACCAGAAAGCCACGGCUAACUACGUGCCAGCCGCCGCAGUAA
RNAcentral lists this ribosomal RNA (515 nucleotides) under uncultured bacterium. RNAcentral describes it as "partial 16S ribosomal RNA". It matches the Rfam family "Bacterial small subunit ribosomal RNA", at positions 28 to 523 of the family's 1533-position model. The record is from RNAcentral.